GACGAACGCUGGCGGCGUGGAUUAGGCAUGCAAGUCGAACGGUAUCAUCCUUUCGGGGGUGAGAGAGUGGCGAACUGGUGAGUAACACGUAGGUUAUCUACCCUCAAGACGGGGACAACCCAGGGAAACUUGGGCUAAUACCGGAUGUGAGCAACUUUUAGUUGUUUGAAAGGUGGCGUAAGCUGUCGCUUGGGGAUGAGCCUGCGUCCUAUUAGUUAGUUGGUGAGGUAACGGCUCACCUAGGCAAUGAUAGGUAGGCGGCCUUAACGGGUGGUCGCCCACACUGGGAUUGAGAUACGGCCCAGACUCCUACGGGAGGCAGCAGUCGAGAAUAGUCUACAAUGGUCGGAAGACUGAUAGUGCGACGCCGCGUGAACGAUGAAUCCCUUCGGGGUGUAAAGUUCUUUUAUAUGUGAGCAGUGCUUCUUAUAUUAAACGUAAUGGGGAGAGAGAUAUUAGCAUAUGAAUAAGCAAACGGCUAACGUCCGUGCCCAGCAGCCGCGGUAAACUCG
RNAcentral lists this ribosomal RNA (512 nucleotides) under uncultured bacterium. Its description in RNAcentral is "bacterial SSU rRNA". It matches the Rfam family "Bacterial small subunit ribosomal RNA", at positions 28 to 527 of the family's 1533-position model. The record is from RNAcentral.